This is a long non-coding RNA of Numida meleagris (helmeted guineafowl), 978 nucleotides long. RefSeq lists it as uncharacterized. The transcript is spliced from 3 exons. The record is from RefSeq and is a predicted model, not a curated record. NCBI's taxonomy places the organism in Eukaryota, Metazoa, Chordata, Aves, Galliformes, Numididae.
GGGACAAGCCACUGGUGUUCACAGCCCCAACCUGGGGGUAGCUCAGCCCCAAGAUCCCUGUCUGCCCUAGGCAUGAGGACAGCCCUCCAAGUAUGGGCUCUGUAGCAAGGUCUGCUUCUCCAGCCACUCCUGCUCAGAUCCUGAGACCUCUUUCCUCUUUGGAGGUGCCCAUCUCUCUCUACGGGAACCUCUGGACUUUUCCAUUCAGUGCCUCAGCCCAAGUGUGACUCCAAAUUCGUCUUAGGGUGUUCCUGAAGACUGGUGAGAUGUCGCAUUGUAUAGUAUUUUUGGGGGACUGGAGAAAGUCACUUUGACAAGUAACGCAUGUAAAUUGCAGCCAUUGAUUAAGGAGGAUUUAAUUUUAUCUAUUCUGUAUUCAUGGUACGAUAAAUAAAAAAGACUUCAGUGGUCACUGUAGGACUGCAACAACUACUGCAGAAAUGCAAUUUAUAGUUGCACAUUUUUUAACAGCGAGCUUUGGCAUACAUUUGAUUAAAUUCUGCUUUCCAGAGCACUUAAUGAGAAUUCUAAUUCUCUGGAGAUUUCUGUAGGCAUGACAGGUAAAGAGGAGUCUAUCAAGUCAUAGCUGUGAUUGUUAGUACGAGGAGCUGGCUCCUUUGAAGAAAAAUAAAAUUCAUAAGCAUGCGUGCAUAUCUUUGAAUAUUGCCAAGAUACAUAUUGGCAGAGCAAUAAAUAGUAGGAAGAUUUAUUACCUCUCUAUUUACCAACGCAUACAAAUCCAUGACACUUGUGAGGCACAGUGACAUUCAGGAACAUGUUUGAACUUAGUGGCUCCAGCAAAUCGUAUUUGUUUUGGGUUCUGUCAAAGAAUUUGUGGUCAAUUCAAUCUCUAAUGUUCAACAAGUCAUCUCAUUGCUUUCCCUGUGUCCCUGAUGGGGAAUGCCUAGGAACUUUCUCCAAAGGACCCAAAAUGGCCACCUACGUCUGUAAAUAAGCAGCCUAAAACAGCAAAAUACC